GACGAACGCUGGCGGCGUGCUUAACACAUGCAAGUCGAGCGGUAAGGCCUUUCGGGGUACACGAGCGGCGAACGGGUGAGUAACACGUGGGUGAUCUGCCCUGCACUCUGGGAUAAGCUUGGGAAACUGGGUCUAAUACCGGAUAUGACUACAGCAUGCAUGUGUUGUGGUGGAAAGAUUUAUCGGUGCAGGAUGGGCCCGCGGCCUAUCAGCUUGUUGGUGGGGUAAUGGCCUACCAAGGCGACGACGGGUAGCCGACCUGAGAGGGUGACCGGCCACACUGGGACUGAGACACGGCCCAG
This 302-nucleotide ribosomal RNA is filed under the name uncultured bacterium. RNAcentral describes it as "bacterial SSU rRNA". It matches the Rfam family "Bacterial small subunit ribosomal RNA", at positions 28 to 334 of the family's 1533-position model. The record is from RNAcentral.